UACGGGGGGGGCAAGCGUUGUUCGGAAUUACUGGGCGUAAAGGGUUCGUAGGUGGCCAACUAAGUCAUACGUGAAAUCCCUCAGCUUAACUGGGGAACUGCGUCUGAUACUGGUUGGCUUGAGUGCAGGAGAGGAACGCGGAAUUCCAGGUGUAGCGGUGAAAUGCGUAGAUAUCAGGAGGAACACCGAUGGCGAAGGCAGGUCUCUGGGCUAACACUGACGCUCAUGCACGAAAGCGUGGGGAGCAAACAGG
This 253-nucleotide ribosomal RNA is filed under the name uncultured bacterium. Its description in RNAcentral is "partial 16S ribosomal RNA". It matches the Rfam family "Bacterial small subunit ribosomal RNA", at positions 524 to 776 of the family's 1533-position model. The record is from RNAcentral.